This 753-nucleotide ribosomal RNA is filed under the name uncultured Comamonadaceae bacterium. Its description in RNAcentral is "bacterial SSU rRNA". It matches the Rfam family "Bacterial small subunit ribosomal RNA", at positions 28 to 776 of the family's 1533-position model. Lineage: Bacteria; Pseudomonadati; Pseudomonadota; Betaproteobacteria; Burkholderiales; Comamonadaceae. The record is from RNAcentral.
AUUGAACGCUGGCGGCAUGCCUUACACAUGCAAGUCGAACGGCAGCACGGGAGCAAUCCUGGUGGCGAGUGGCGAACGGGUGAGUAAUACAUCGGAACGUGCCCAAUCGUGGGGGAUAACGCAGCGAAAGCUGUGCUAAUACCGCAUACGAUCUACGGAUGAAAGCAGGGGAUCGCAAGACCUUGCGCGAAUGGAGCGGCCGAUGGCAGAUUAGGUAGUUGGUGAGGUAAAGGCUCACCAAGCCGUCGAUCUGUAGCUGGUCUGAGGGGACGACCAGCCACACUGGGACUGAGACACGGCCCAGACUCCUACGGGAGGCAGCAGUGGGGAAUUUUGGACAAUGGGCGAAAGCCUGAUCCAGCCAUGCCGCGUGCAGGAUGAAGGCCUUCGGGUUGUAAACUGCUUUUGUACGGAACGAAACGGCCUUUUCUAAUAAAGAGGGCUAAUGACGGUACCGUAAGAAUAAGCACCGGCUAACUACGUGCCAGCAGCCGCGGUAAUACGUAGGGUGCAAGCGUUAAUCGGAAUUACUGGGCGUAAAGCGUGCGCAGGCGGUUCUGUAAGACAGUUGUGAAAUCCCCGGGCUCAACCUGGGAACUGCAUCUGUGACUGCAUAGCUAGAGUACGGUAGAGGGGGAUGGACUUCCGCGUGUAGCAGUGAAAUGCGUAGAUAUGCGGAGGAACACCGAUGGCGAAGGCAAUCCCCUGGACCUGUACUGACGCUCAUGCACGAAAGCGUGGGGAGCAAACAGG